CUGCAGCCCGAGUGGUGAUCGAUUUUAUUGAGCCUAAAGCGUCCGUAGCCGGACUAGUAAACCCUUGGGUAAAUUUGGCAGCUUAACUGUCCAAAUUCUGAGGGGACUGCUAGUCUUGGGACCGGGAGAGGUCAGAGGUACUCAAGGGGUAGGGGCUAAAUCCUGUAAUCCUUUGGGGACCACCAGUGGCGAAGGCGUCUGACUAGAACGGAUCCGACGGUAAGGGACGAAACCCUGGGGCGCGAACCGGAUUAGAUACCCGAGUAGUCC
This 270-nucleotide ribosomal RNA is filed under the name uncultured archaeon. RNAcentral's name for it is "partial 16S ribosomal RNA". It matches the Rfam family "Archaeal small subunit ribosomal RNA", at positions 477 to 747 of the family's 1478-position model. The record is from RNAcentral.